ACAACUGUCUCCCAAAUAGCCUUCCUCAUUACUGGAGAUUAGGAGGAGAAGACAAACCACCAUCGGCGGCAACGACGACGUCACUAUUGGAAAAUCUCCUUAAGGUUAAUACUCAUCUUGCUAAUCCGCUAGGGUUUCUCAAAAUGGUAUUCUAGUUCACUGGUAGAGACUCAAAUCUGAUCAUGUGGUGAAAGAUAAGUUGAUAACAAAUCGAAGAGCCAUCUUUGUUGUUCAACUUAUUAAUUUUCUCUUCCUUAAAGUUGUGAAUCCUUUCUGUCGAAUCUUUAAAUCUAAUUAAAAAUCUGUUAGGAUAUUUUUGUACUAUAAUCCAUCCUUUUUUGCAUUUGAUUUUAUGAGGAAAACAUAAAAUUGUACCCUAAUUUCAUCCUAUUUUCUACUGUAAAAGUCGCACGAUUUUCGCCUUUGAAGCGUAAUAGUAUCAGCUUCCGCGGUCUUCUUGUCAAGGUAGAAUAUCCCCUAGGUAUAAAAUUUUCUUUUUAAUUGCUGAAUGUGUUAAGAAUAAUUGAUUUCUUACAAUAGCUUCCUCUAUGUUUGAGCAGGGAUCAAUACGAUAUCUGAGCUCGUAAAAAUCGGAUCUUUUUAAUACUUGUCAGCGACUAGCAAGAGGUUGUUGCUAUUACCACUGCUAUCCAAGAGGAGAUAUUUUUCGAGAUGGGAAUUGGUGAGCUUUAAAUUACUCAUGCUUUACUUCAAGGACAGUUCAACUUAGGUAAUUGUUGAGUAUUAAAGAGCUGAUUAACAUGAGGUGUUCUAGAAUCAUCUUGUACUAGCUAGAAAAUUUUUCAUAAAAAUCAAUGUAUUAAACUAGACAAUUCUAGGAGGAUACUAGAUACUUCUCAAAUAAAAUUCAUAGGCAUCAAUGAGUGCUCUUUUUUCAUAUGUAUAGUCAUACAUAUGUUCGAGCAUGCGUGCAAAGACUAAGCACUUUUUACUCUAAUCUAGUUGAACCAUGUUGCUUGGUCAUCGUAUAGUGGUCCUUGUGUUUCAAAAAAGAGGUGCCAAAAACCAAUUUUGCAGAUAGAGCUAGGCAGAAUUGUAGAUAUGUUACAAUGCGAAUUUGCAGAAGUGGUUAAUAUAUAAUUAUGAUUCUGAUGGUAUUUCUGUUGUUUCGUAAAAUUGUAUAUUUAGCUUGGAAUCAGUUAGAAGAAAUAACUUUAUCAUUAAAAUGUGAAUUGAAAUAAUAAGAGAUUUUAGUUAGUGUCGUGUGUUGAAGUUUAGAUCAAGGAAUGCGUAGAUAACGAGCACAUGUGCAUUGAAUUUUCGACACUUCCUUUUUUUAAUUGUGGUCCUUCUACUUCCAUUUGUUGAAGAAAGGCCUUUCACUAUAUCAGCCUUGGUGUAUUUGCUCUUGCCAUGGAUGGUUCAUGGAUGGAUGGUAAGAACAUUUUUCUUCCUCCUCAUUCCACUAGCAUUUGUCCUUCCAUUUUAAAGAGGGAUAUUACUACAAUCGUUGGGGGUGUGAAAUGAUGAACUAAGCUGUAUUGACAGUAUUCAAUAUCAUUAAUUAAUACAAGAACAAGAUCACAGAGGUAUCAUUCUUAGAUUAUAUCAGAAGGUGAGCUGCAUUCUCCGUGCAAAGUUUGAAAUGUAUCCACUUUAGAUUGUUACUUGCAAAAAAAGCUGAAAAGUUGAAAACUGUUAGUGUGGUUGGCUACCGAAACAGUUAGAUUGUUGCUUUGGUUAUGUUUUUAUGUUUGAGUUGAUUCAAAAUAAGAAAAACAGACAACUCUCAAUUUGUUUGAAUGCAUAUGCUUACAAUUUUGGUUUUGAUGAUUUGGAUUUGUUACUCAACUUUGGUUUCUUCAUUUGUGCGAACUUAUUUCUUUCUCCUGGAAACAUUGUGCUUUAUGCAUUGUUCAUGAUAGGAAAUACAUACCCUUCACUUAUUAUAUCUGAAACUUUUGCAAUGCUCUUUUUUAACACACAUAGUCAGUUCAGGUUAUUAGUUAAAACUUUGGGGUGAUCGAGUAUUUCUCCUUUUCUUUUAUAUAUGUGCAUUUGAUUGAAAUUCAAGCUGUGAUUAACGUGGGUGAGCAAUGAUAGUGGCUAAAGUCUGGCCGCUGGCGCUGUAAUGAUCAUAGAGUCCAGCAGUCGGCCCUAAGCCAGUAGGUGGAAGUAAGAGUGGAUCUAGUUUUGCAUAUCUUGGGUUAUCAUCUUCAUUGUUUCUCUCUGCCCAAUUCCACACCAUUUUUCCCUUGUUCCUCAACUAAGUUAUGUCUAGCUUGUUGACUCGGUGGUUUCUUGCAGGGUCAUGGUUUUGUCUCCCUCUUUUAAGUAACUUUUAUUGGCAGGGAGCUUUUCUUUAGUACAAUUCCAUGGAAUCCUGUGACCUAAAGAAGUAAAUGUGGC
Molecule: long non-coding RNA, 2370 nt
Filed under: Nicotiana benthamiana
Lineage: Eukaryota; Viridiplantae; Streptophyta; Magnoliopsida; Solanales; Solanaceae
Description: long non-coding RNA (NBEN_LNC031022)
Source: RNAcentral